CUCCUGUCUCAGCCUCCCAAGUGUAGCUGGGACUACAGGCACACGCCAUCAUGCCCAGCUAAUUUUUUCUUUUUUAAUGUAGAGAUAAGAGUCUCACUGUGUUGCCGAGGUUGAUCUCAAACUCCUGGUCUCAAGAGAUCCUCCCACCUCAGCCUCCCAGAGUCAGAACCCAGAUCCUGGACCUCUUCUUUUCUUCAUCUAUACCACUGCUUCCUUGAUAAGAGAUCAAGAUAUAUACAAAUUAGUCUUUGAAAGAUCUUUCACCUUGUUCAAAGUUAAGAUCCUGUGAACACCAGAAUUGUUCCGUGGCCUCUUCACUAUUGAUUGCAACAGUAUCAUUUACCUGAAGCUACACAGUGACCACAAAAACCAUGUCCAGGACACCAAAUUUCUACUGCGAACUCUAGGUCCUCACGAGCCUUUCUCUGCGAGUCCAAAAUUCAGCCACAUUUCCUAAGAGGCACCUGUACUUGUCUAUUUCAAUGCAGCCAGAAGCUGACAACGGCCCAGGAACCAGGACUGCUUUCAGGAGGCACUCAGAAGGGCAGUAAAGUACCCUCUCAACAUUAGUAAAAUGAAACAAAAGUGUCAGCCUUGGCUUCGCACACACUUACCCGUUCAUGGUCAAAGGCCAUCCAUGCCUUUAGAGAUGGACACAUGACCCAUCCUAGGCCAAGCAGGACCUCCCACCUCCCCCAACUCACUCCUGCUCCAGCUCCAGUAAGUGUUUUACCGAAAGGCAUGUGGCACACACCAGACCAAUCACAGAAGCAGGAAGAUCCAGAUUCCGUGACAGCUGCUAGAACUCUUAAGAAAAGAUCUUUUCUGCUGGAGUUGCUACAAAAACAGACUCAUGAAAGGUUAUCCUGCCACAACCAGGGAAUCACCUCCGUGAAUGAAUCCAACAGGGAGCACAGCACAGCCAGAAGACUGCCACCAAGACUUAAUGGCAUGAUCGGAACCUCCUGCUCCAGAUUUCCCUGGAGCUAGUUCCACAAUCUGACUUUUCAACAUUAUGAGCCAAUUAAUUCCCCUUUAUGACUAAGCUGGUCACUCAGAACCAACAAGACCUAAAAUAUGGUGAGCUCAGUAUUUUAAGGC
Long non-coding RNA from Gorilla gorilla gorilla (western lowland gorilla), 1101 nucleotides. RefSeq lists it as uncharacterized. The transcript has 5 exons. The record is from RefSeq and is a predicted model, not a curated record. NCBI's taxonomy places the organism in Eukaryota, Metazoa, Chordata, Mammalia, Primates, Hominidae.